UAGGCACACUCUAUGACAUUUGACCAUGAAUCAUCAGAGAUAACGUAGGCAAAACUGCCCGCUGCGUUAAGUAAAGGUAGAAUGGGCGUGAGCAAAAUGUUAUCAGACGUACAGCAAUCGCCGAAAGACAAAAUAAAGCAAAUGCUGCUUAUUCCCAAGAAUAAAUUCAGACGAGAGAGAUGAAGUAAGAAACAUACGCCCUUGGAGUAUGUCAUGCGCUCGUAGCGCAUGGCACCGACUGUGCUGUCCAGUAGGGAAUCAGGGUAUAAUGGAGUUGAUGGCCUAGACCCUUCUACAUAAACUACAAUUGCGAUGCUUUCGUUUUGCUUUUCUCCUCUGGUGAGACAUAGUAUUUAACCUCUCCUUGUCCAGAGUGAUUCAUUUGCUGGGAGUUGACGCUAUGUCCGUGUGUUUCGCUUGCAUUUGCGUGUUUUUUAUUUGGCUGUCCAUCAUUUACUGCCCAUUAAUCUACUAAUGUCUUGGCACAAAACACCACGGUCCAUAUUUUUGUGUUUCAGCUGGCGUUGCUGUAUAUGGGACUACGUAGGUGAACAACUGUAAUCGAGGCGCGGACGGCCAGUGGUUCGGAAGCAACAUCUGGGGUGACCAAAUAGGGCGAUAACUUCUAGGGUGUUCACUUUCGGAGGCGAUCACACCUAAUCUGUGUGCGUAUACAGCCGAAAGCGUUUCUGGCUUUGUGUCAAGCUCGCUUUCUAAUGAUGCACAGAAUACAGUUACAGUUGCUUGUCCUCAUCUCUUUCCCCGUGCUUCUCACAUACGUGUGCAUUGACUUCUUUUUCAUUGGUGCCGGCAACAAACGGCACGAGAUCGAUAUGCUCGUGUCCUGCACGCAUCUGUCGGAGGAUGACGAUCCUGACCUCUCGGGAGUCAUCACCAGGUCAAGCGGGGGAGGCAGCACGGGGGCCGACUGCACGAGUCAAACAAGCAAGGGCCAUCAUAUGGUCAAAGAAUCCCGUCCUGUAGACGUUCAUGGGCACAUUGUCCGGAGGACUCGGGUCGGAAAGUGUCCCUUAUCGGCACCGGAUUACCUCGACCCAUUUCUCGACUCACUGGUUACACUCGAACAUCGCCUCUGGUGACAGGCUGCACAGCGUUAUCAGGUCCACUGCAGUGUGAAAGGUCCACCAGGCUCCUGCAGCAGUGAGGUGAACAGCAUCCGUUGCCGCAUACGCAUGUGCCAGCGGCGAACAAGAGCAACGUGCUCGCCGUACGUGGCGAUGAUGGCGAGGAUCUCCCCACCGCGGACUCGGAACCACAAUCCCUCGAUCGGGAGCAACUUGCUGCCGGACCGCCGAACAGCCGCUGACCCAGGCUGGAGAAGUUCAGCUGGAACGUCAGGUCUCGAACUUGCGUCACAGUGGCCACAUUUAUCGCCACGACAACGAGGCAAUUGACACACUUGUUGGAAAUGCCGAUAAACGCUUGGUUACACAUACACACAAAUAAAGAGACUCAUGACAGCGCUGGUCACAAGACCAGAAGAGGACGACGACGGCGGCUUUUAGCGCCGAUGACGUGCAAGACGACUCACGCUUUUGUACCACGAGUCCGACUAAUAAGUAUUUGCCGCGUAGAUCUUCACUAGCCAUAGGAGAGGUUGGGACGGGUCAUCGAAAUAGAGCAUCGGUAACACAGGCUCACCAAGGUACGCUGUUGGUAACGGCAGAGGAAACGCAAUGAGUGAAACGUUGGCGGAUGGCAUGAAUAGCCCAAAGAACGAAAAAUCACGCACGGCGGCAAAAUGUGAUGUUCAUGGGAGCGUAUUAUAUUCGCGCAAUGUGUUUUUCACCAAGUCACCAAGGUGUUCAGGGACCCGUUCAAGCCUGUACUGCACAACGCAGAUUCUGUGUAGUGCGCGUUAGAGACUUCGUAAUUUAAAUUUGUGCAAGUGGAGCACAAGUAGUGAUAUGAAUUCAUAAUCAGGCUAUCUUAAUGUCCAGCGUUCUCCCAUUACCACUAUCCUGUGCCAGCUAUUUCCAACUUGCACAUGCGAAUUUUCUCAUCAUCCCACCUCGACUGCACUUUCCUUUUCUUGGCACCCAUUUGGUAACUAUUACGGUCCACCGGUUAUCCCUUCUACGCAUUACAUAGCCAGCCCAGCUCCAUUGUUAUCUCUUCAUGUCUAUUACAAUAGCGGCUAUCCUUGUUUACCGUCUGAUCACAGCGCUCUUUUCCUCUCUGUUAAUGUUACGACUAACAUUCUUCGUCCCAUUGCUCUUUAUGCGGUCUUGUUCUCGAGCUUCGUUGUCAACCUCGAUGUUUCGGCCCCAUACGUUGGCACUGGUAGAAUGCAGUGAUUGUAUACUUUU
Molecule: non-coding RNA, 2330 nt
Organism: Dermacentor albipictus
Lineage: Eukaryota; Metazoa; Arthropoda; Arachnida; Ixodida; Ixodidae
Source: RefSeq, a predicted model, not a curated record